CAAGCAGGCCCUGGUGUUCCAGUGUGUGGGUUGUGGAGCCUUUUACCUGCAACGCCUUGGCAAAGCAUCUGGAGACCCUGGUGGCAGGGUCAAGUUCUCUGCAGCCUGUGGUCCUCCAGUGUCCCCUGAGUGUGAGCACUGUGGACAGAGACACCAGGUGGGCCCAGGUCAGGGGCAGUGGGCCAGGGUCCUGGAGCUUACACAUUCAUGCCUUUGCUCAGCUGUACCCCUGGUGUCCCCAGCUGGGGGGCCCCAUGUGGGCAGAGCCCAUCCACGACCUGGACUUCGUGGGCCAAGUUCUUGAGGCAGUGACCACUAAUCCUGGCCGCUUCCACACUUCCACAAGGAUCCAAGGUGUCCUUAGUGUGGUUACUGAG
This 377-nucleotide long non-coding RNA is filed under the name Rattus norvegicus (Norway rat). RNAcentral's name for it is "long non-coding RNA NONRATT014139". The record is from RNAcentral. Lineage: Eukaryota; Metazoa; Chordata; Mammalia; Rodentia; Muridae.